UCUACUAAAAAUACAAAAAUUAGCUGGGCAUGGUGGUGCGUGCCUGUAAUCCCAGCUACUCAGGAGGCUGAGGCAGGAGAAUUGCCUGAACCCAGGAGGCGGAGGUUGUGGUGAGCUGAGAUCGCGCCAUUGCACUCCAGCCUGGGGAACAACAAAACUCCCGUCUCAAAAAAAAAAAAAAAAGGUUUGGGAACCUCCGCUUAGAUUUCAGAGGAUGUAUAGGAACAGCUGGGUGUCCAGGCUGAAGUGUGCUGCAGGGGCAGAGUCAUGGAGAACCUCUGUGAGCGCAGGACAGAGGGAAAUGUGGGCUCAGAGCUCCUCCCCCAACAGUAACCACUGGGGCACUGCUUAGCGGAGCUCUGAGAAAAGGGCCACUGUCCUGUGGAACCCAGAAUGGGAGAUCCACGGACAGCUUGCACUGUGCACCUGGAAAAGCCACACUCAACAAACACCAGCCUGUGAACGCAGCCAGGAGGGGGCUUGGUUCACAGGGGACCUUGGGAAGCCACCUCUUGCAUCAGCAUGACCUGGAUGUGAGACAUGGAGUCUUAGGAGGUCAUUUUGGGGCUUAGGAUCUGACUGUCCUGCUGGAUUUCAGGCUGGCAUGGGGCCUGAUGUGGCCAAUGUCUCCCGUUUGGAAUGGGCGUAUUUACCCAAUGCCUGUGCACCCGUUUCUGGGAGGUAACUUGCUUUUGAUUUUGCAGGCUCACAGCCAGAAGGGACUUGCCUGGUCUCAGAUGAGACUUUGGACUUGGACUUUUGGAUUAAGGCUGGAAUUCGAUAAGACUCUGGGGAACCGCUGGACGGAUGAAGUCUAACUUUGUCACCAGGCUGGCAUGUAGUGGCACGAUCUUGACUCACUGCAAUCUCCGCCUGCCGAGUUCAAGCAAUUCUCCUGCCUCCAGAGUAGCGGGGACCACAGAGGGAAACAUGCUCACCCACCAUGAAUUAUGCUGCUGGCUGUGUUUCUCGUGGAUGCUGUAGGAGGCAGAAUAGUGCACCCAGCAAAGAUGGUCACGUCCUAACCCCUGGACAAUGAAAUGAUGGGAGGCUGCACC
Callithrix jacchus (white-tufted-ear marmoset) is the source of this 1058-nucleotide long non-coding RNA. RefSeq lists it as uncharacterized. NCBI's taxonomy places the organism in Eukaryota, Metazoa, Chordata, Mammalia, Primates, Cebidae. The record is from RefSeq and is a predicted model, not a curated record.